GCCGGGCACAGUGGUGCAUGCCUGAAAUCCCAGCGUCCUGGGAGGCUGAGGCAGGAGGAUUGCAAGUUCAAAGCCAGCCGCAGCAACUCAAUGAGAUCUUGUCUCUA
Molecule: small RNA, 107 nt
Filed under: Marmota monax (woodchuck)
Lineage: Eukaryota; Metazoa; Chordata; Mammalia; Rodentia; Sciuridae
Source: RNAcentral